UCCAGACUCCUACGGGAGGCAGCAGUGAGGAAUAUUGGUCAAUGGGCGGAAGCCUGAACCAGCCAAGUCGCGUGAGGGAAGAAGGCCCUGCGGGUCGCAGACCUCUUUGGACGGGGAGCAAGGCCGCCGACGUGUCGGCGGAAGGAGAGUACCCGUAGAACAAGCAUCGGCUAACUCCGUGCCAGCAGCCGCGGUAAUACGGAGGAUGCGAGCGUUAUCCGGAUUUAUUGGGUUUAAAGGGUGCGCAGGCGGAAGAUCAAGUCAGCGGUAAAAUUGAGAGGCUCAACCUCUUCGAGCCGUUGAAACUGGUUUUCUUGAGUGAGCGAGAAGUAUGCGGAAUGCGUGGUGUAGCGGUGAAAUGCAUAGAUAUCGCGCAGAACCCCGAUUGCGAAGGCAGCGUACCGGCUCCACACUGACGCUGAGGCACGAAAGCGUGGGUAUCGAACAGGAUUAGAUACCCCCGUAG
RNAcentral lists this ribosomal RNA (466 nucleotides) under uncultured bacterium. RNAcentral's name for it is "bacterial SSU rRNA". It matches the Rfam family "Bacterial small subunit ribosomal RNA", at positions 330 to 793 of the family's 1533-position model. The record is from RNAcentral.